UACGUAGGUGGCAAGCGUUGUCCGGAUUUAUUGGGUUUAAAGGGUGCGUAGGUGGUCUAUUAAGUCAGUGCUGAAAUAUCCCGGCUUAACCGGGAGGGUGGCAUUGAUACUGAUGGACUUGAGUAAAGUUGAGGUAGGCGGAAUUGACGGUGUAGCGGUGAAAUGCUUAGAUAUGACAUAGAACACCAAUUGCGAAGGCAGCUCACUACGGAUUUAUUGACACUGAGGCACGAAAGCGUGGGGAUCAAACAGG
This 253-nucleotide ribosomal RNA is filed under the name uncultured bacterium. RNAcentral's name for it is "partial 16S ribosomal RNA". It matches the Rfam family "Bacterial small subunit ribosomal RNA", at positions 524 to 776 of the family's 1533-position model. The record is from RNAcentral.